UCUGGACGGAGCAACGCCGCGUGAGUGAUGAAGGUUUUCGGAUCGUAAAACUCUGUUGUUAGGGAAGAACAAGUACCGUUCGAAUAGGGCGGUACCUUGACGGUACCUAACCAGAAAGCCACGGCUAACUACGUGCCAGCAGCCGCGGUAAUACGUAGGUGGCAAGCGUUGUCCGGAAUUAUUGGGCGUAAAGCGCGCGCAGGCGGUUUCUUAAGUCUGAUGUGAAAGCCCCCGGCUCAACCGGGGAGGGUCAUUGGAAACUGGGGAACUUGAGUGCAGAAGAGGAGAGUGGAAUUCCACGUGUAGCGGUGAAAUGCGUAGAGAUGUGGAGGAACACCAGUGGCGAAGGCGACUCUCUGGUCUGUAACUGACGCUGAGGCGCGAAAGCGUGGGGAGCGAACAGGAUUAGAUACCCUGGUAGUCCACGCCGUAAACGAUGAGUGCUAAGUGUUAGAGGGUUUCCGCCCUUUAGUGCUGCAGCAAACGCAUUAAGCACUCCGCCUGGGGAGUACGGUCGCAAGACUGAAACUCAAAGGAAUUGACGGGGGCCCGCACAAGCGGUGGAGCAUGUGGUUUAAUUCGAAGCAACGCGAAGAACCUUACCAGGUCUUGACAUCCUCUGACAACCCUAGAGAUAGGGCUUCCCCUUCGGGGGCAGAGUGACAGGUGGUGCAUGGU
This 678-nucleotide ribosomal RNA is filed under the name Bacillus licheniformis. Its description in RNAcentral is "bacterial SSU rRNA". It matches the Rfam family "Bacterial small subunit ribosomal RNA", at positions 381 to 1049 of the family's 1533-position model. The record is from RNAcentral. Lineage: Bacteria; Bacillati; Bacillota; Bacilli; Caryophanales; Bacillaceae.